CAGCAACAGCAACAUAAGAAACUCCUGGCUGCAAUGCUCUCUCAAGAUUCUUUUGAGUCCACCCACAGCCCUACCCCAUCUGUAACAGAAGAAGAUAUUGAUAAUGAAGAUGAUGCAAUGGAAUUGCUGGGCUUCAAGGAGACAACCUGGAAGAAAGGACAGAAGAGUCACUACCAAUACUCCAUUCUCCAGAUGAAAAAAUCCCAGAUUCAUUUGAUUCCUUGCCUGGGACUGAAGAAGCACUAAUGGAGGAGGGUGAUGAAUUUGAGAAAGCAUCUAAACUAACAGGACCUGAUGAAUCCUUAAAGCAACUGCAGGUAGUUCAUCAACCAUGGAUCUUGCCAAGUGACACAGAAAGUGAAGGAGUGGAAGCAGAACAAGAGAAACGUGAGUAGACGCUAUUGUUUAUUGACAAAUUUCUUUUACCAGAAGGAAAUCCACAAUAAAGCUAUUUCACUUUCAUA
Molecule: small RNA, 464 nt
Filed under: Pongo abelii (Sumatran orangutan)
Lineage: Eukaryota; Metazoa; Chordata; Mammalia; Primates; Hominidae
Description: processed transcript
Source: RNAcentral